Molecule: long non-coding RNA, 477 nt
Filed under: Homo sapiens (human)
Lineage: Eukaryota; Metazoa; Chordata; Mammalia; Primates; Hominidae
Description: novel transcript
Source: RNAcentral
GAAAGUACAUCAGCCAGGGGGCAGUGUCAGAGACGCAGCACUGGGAGAGGAGGACAUCGUCAGGCUGGCCCAGGACCAGGAGGAGAUGAAGAUCACCACUGGAUUGCUGACAGAUAGAGGAGGUGGGACCCUGACUAUCACCCCUAAUCUGCAGUGGAUUUGGCUCUCGGCACUCCCAGGCUGGGAGCUGGAUACCUGCCCUGGCAGCAUGGCUCAGACUGCAUGACAGAGAACGUGGCCAGUGGAGACGGCACACUGGAAAUCAGAGUGAAUGUUCUUGAAAGAGGGUCACGGGUCAACAAGGCCCAGCCAAAGGAUGCAGUAGAACCAUUUUCCUUAGAAAUCUUUGGGAGUGAAGUAGGCUUCAGCCACUCCCAUCCCUGCCCUUGCGGCUACCACUACCCCAUUAGUUUAGACAGGGUCGGGCGGGGAGGGGUGUGGAGAAGAAAUGAGCUUGCCUGUGGCCCCCAGGCUCCC